Molecule: non-coding RNA, 659 nt
Organism: Podarcis lilfordi (Lilford's wall lizard)
Lineage: Eukaryota; Metazoa; Chordata; Lepidosauria; Squamata; Lacertidae
Source: the annotation of a GenBank genome assembly
AUGGGGUCACGAAGAGACGGACAUGACUAAACAACAACAAGCAAUUGGAAUUUGUAGAAAACCAUCAGUUUGAAAAAACAACAACCCUAAGAUCCAGAGCUAAAAAUUUAUCUAAAAUGUAUAGGGUCUUGAUUGGGAAACGAAAGAAGAAUUUGCAAAAUCAUCUAUGAUCAAAUGGGCACAGGCUGUGGGUCAUAAUAUUGAUUUAAACCUGUAGGAACAUUUGUGGAAAACAAAUUUAAAAUUCACCACUAGUUUCACACUAAACGAGAACUGUUUUAAAAUGAUCCACAGGUGGUACUUGACUCCAAAUAAACUAGCUAAAAUGUUUAGAUCUAAACGUGACUUAUGCUGGAAAUGUAAGGAAACAACGAACAUUUUAUUAUUCAUGGUGGUCUUGCAGAUUAAUAAAAGAAUUCUGGGAGAUGAUUUAUAACGAACUUAAGAAAAUGUUUAAAAGAACAUUUCCUAAAACCCCAGGAGCUUUACUUCCGGGAAUAAUGACAACAGAAAUACCAAAAAAAUCACACUACGUUGUGGAUGUAUGCGACUACAUCUGCCUGAACUUUGGUAGCAGAAAAGUGGAGAACAGAUGCAGUACCAUCACAAGAAGAAUGGCACCUUAAAAUAAUAGAUUAUAUAGAACUUGCCAGCAUGAC